This 402-nucleotide ribosomal RNA is filed under the name uncultured Bacteroidia bacterium. RNAcentral describes it as "bacterial SSU rRNA". It matches the Rfam family "Bacterial small subunit ribosomal RNA", at positions 338 to 732 of the family's 1533-position model. Lineage: Bacteria; Pseudomonadati; Bacteroidota; Bacteroidia. The record is from RNAcentral.
CCUACGGGGGGCAGCAGCUAAGAAUAUUCCGCAAUGGACGGAAGUCUGACGGAGCGACGCCGCGUGGAUGAAGAAGGCUGAAAAGUUGUAAAAUUCUUUUGCCGAUGAAGAAUAAGGAUAAGAGGGAAUGCUUGUCUGAUGACGGUAAUCGGCGAAUAAGCCCCGGCUAAUUACGUGCCAGCAGCCGCGGUAACACGUAAGGGGCGAGCGUUGUUCGGAAUUAUUGGGCGUAAAGGGCAUGCAGGCGGUUAUGUAAGCCUGAUGUGAAAUCCUGAGGCUUAACCUCAGAACCGCAUUGGGUACUGCGUAACUUGAAUUACGGAAGGGAAACUGGAAUUCCAAGUGUAGGGGUGGAAUCUGUAGAUAUUUGGAAGAACACCGGUGGCGAAGGCGGGUUUCUGG